GAGUUUGAUCAUGGCUCAGAUUGAACGCUGGCGGCAGGCCUAACACAUGCAAGUCGAACGGUAACAGGAAACAGCUUGCUGUUUCGCUGACGAGUGGCGGACGGGUGAGUAAUGUCUGGGAAACUGCCUGAUGGAGGGGGAUAACUACUGGAAACGGUAGCUAAUACCGCAUAACGUCGCAAGACCAAAGAGGGGGACCUUCGGGCCUCUUGCCAUCGGAUGUGCCCAGAUGGGAUUAGCUAGUAGGUGGGGUAACGGCUCACCUAGGCGACGAUCCCUAGCUGGUCUGAGAGGAUGACCAGCCACACUGGAACUGAGACACGGUCCAGACUCCUACGGGAGGCAGCAGUGGGGAAUAUUGCACAAUGGGCGCAAGCCUGAUGCAGCCAUGCCGCG
This 396-nucleotide ribosomal RNA is filed under the name uncultured microorganism. RNAcentral describes it as "bacterial SSU rRNA". It matches the Rfam family "Bacterial small subunit ribosomal RNA", at positions 9 to 401 of the family's 1533-position model. The record is from RNAcentral.